UGUUGCUAUUUUUAUUUUUUCAUGGAGUUGAUUUGCCCAAAUUCCUGGCAGAGGUUCUAGGGUUUGGAACAGUGGAGAUGACGAGAAAAACGAGCUGUUGUGGUAUUUGUGAGAAUUCAAAUCUACCUUCCGUUUGUACUCUUUGCGUCAAUUACAGAUUGAAUGAGUACAGCACUGUGUUGAAAUCACUGAAGGGGAGGAGAGAAGCAUUAUGUGGGCAAUUAAGUGAAAUACUCUUGGCUAAGGGCAAGGCCGACGAUCAACUUAGUUGGA
Molecule: unclassified non-coding RNA, 273 nt
Filed under: Hevea brasiliensis (rubber tree)
Lineage: Eukaryota; Viridiplantae; Streptophyta; Magnoliopsida; Malpighiales; Euphorbiaceae
Source: RNAcentral